GGUAUCGUGAUGGUUACUGAGCAGGCUUCAAAGAAAAAAAUCCCCAAGACUAAAAGAAUCAGGUGCAGUUGAAAGAGGAAGCUGAACCAACAAACAAUAAUGUGGACUGGAUAUAAGAUCUUAAUCUUCUUCUCUCUGACGACAGACAUCUGCACUGAGACUCAUUUCUCUCAAGGAGAAGCAGAACCAGGGCCAAGAUUCACUAGAAAUCACACCAUUUUUGAAGGUUCUCGGCACAAAAGGGCCAUUUUCCAAGGGGAAUACUGUAGGCGCUUUGGCUGUUGUGAAGCUAGAGAUGACACCUGUGUCACUCAGUUCUAUGAGGCCAAUGCACUGUGUUACUGUGACAGCUUCUGUGAGCGGGACACCUCUGAUUGCUGUCCUGAUUACAAGUCAUUCUGCCACGAAGAAAAAGAAGAGCCUCCUUUCCAACAGCCUUCAGACCCAGAAGGUUGCUUCAGAGAUAGCCAGCAUUAUGAAGAAGGAUCAGUAGUUAAAGAAAACUGCAACUCCUGUACAUGUUCAGGACAGCAGUGGAAAUGUUCCCAACAUGUGUGCCUUGUUCAUCCAGAAUUAAUUGACCACAUCAAUAAAGGAGACUAUGGAUGGACAGCACAGAAUUAUAGCCAAUUCUGGGGAAUGACCUUAGAAGAAGGAUUCAAAUUCCGCCUCGGCACCUUGCCACCUAGCCCCAUGCUUCUCAGCAUGAAUGAAAUGACAGCUUCUUUUCCUCCCAGAGCUGAUCUUCCUGAGAUCUUCAUUGCUUCUUAUAAGUGGCCUGGAUGGACUCAUGGUCCACUGGAUCAAAAAAACUGUGCUGCAUCCUGGGCUUUUUCCACCGCAAGUGUGGCAGCUGACCGAAUUGCAAUUCAGUCCAAGGGUCGAUACACAGCCAAUCUCUCGCCUCAGAAUUUGAUCUCUUGUUGUGCCAAGAAUCGUCACGGAUGCAACAGUGGAAGCAUAGAUAGGGCCUGGUGGUUCCUGAGAAAACACUGGUAUCUCAUGCAUGCUACCCACUUUUCAAGGACCAAAACACUACCAAUAAUAUCUGUGCUAUGGCAAGUAGAUCAGAUGGGCGGGGAAAACGGCAUGCCACAAAGCCAUGUCCCAACAGCUUCGAGAAAUCCAACAGGAUUUACCAAUGUUCUCCUCCAUACAGAGUCUCUUCCAAUGAAACUGAAAUUAUGAGAGAAAUCAUACAAAAUGGACCAGUUCAAGCCAUAAUGCAAGUCCAUGAAGACUUCUUUUAUUAUAAGACAGGAAUAUACAGACAUGUUGUCAGCACAAAUGAAGAACCAGAAAAGUAUAAAAAACUUCGGACACAUGCAGUUAAACUCACUGGAUGGGGCACACUGAGAGGAGCACGAGGAAAAAAAGAAAAAUUUUGGAUUGCUGCCAAUUCCUGGGGAAAGUCAUGGGGAGAGAAUGGCUAUUUUAGGAUUCUUCGAGGAGUAAAUGAAUCUGACAUUGAGAAAUUGAUUAUCGCAGCGUGGGGCCAACUGACAAGUUCAGAUGAUCCAUAGCUAUCACAUUUCCAUAAGGUCAUGCAUUCAAGUAACUCAUUAAAUCGAAUUUUAGCAAUCCAAGGUUCCCUGAGCCAGAGGAAGGGUGCAUUUUUGCUAUGUGCGUAGGACAUUCCUCCUUUCUUGUUUUACUCCAGACUCUAAUCCGUUCUCUUUAUAUUAUUAAAAUACUAAUAAAAGAAAGAAUGGCUAAAUGU
Mus musculus (house mouse) is the source of this 1720-nucleotide RNA transcript. It is a transcript of the gene named tubulointerstitial nephritis antigen, with no coding region annotated. The transcript has 11 exons. Lineage: Eukaryota; Metazoa; Chordata; Mammalia; Rodentia; Muridae. The record is from RefSeq and is marked validated.